GAUGAACGCUGGCGGCGUGCUUAACACAUGCAAGUCGAACGAUGAAGCCCAGCUUGCUGGGUGGAUUAGUGGCGAACGGGUGAGUAACACGUGAGUAACCUGCCCUUAACUCUGGGAUAAGCCUGGGAAACUGGGUCUAAUACCGGAUAGGAGCGUCCACCGCAUGGUGGGUGUUGGAAAGAUUUCUGGGUUUUGGAGGGCCUCGCGCCCUAUAAGCUUUUUGGUGGGGUAUUGUCCCACAAGGCCGACGACGGGGGGCGGGCCUGAGGGGGUGACCGGCCACACUGGGACUGAGACACGGCCCAGACUCCUACGGGAGGCAGCAGUGGGGAAUAGUGCACAAUGGGCGCAAGCCUGAUGCAGCGACGCCGCGUGAGGGAUGACGGCCUUCGGGUUGUAAACCUCUUUCAGUAGGGAAGAAGCGAAAGUGACGGUACCUGCAGAAGAAGCACCGGCUAACUACG
RNAcentral lists this ribosomal RNA (464 nucleotides) under uncultured bacterium. RNAcentral describes it as "partial 16S ribosomal RNA". It matches the Rfam family "Bacterial small subunit ribosomal RNA", at positions 28 to 505 of the family's 1533-position model. The record is from RNAcentral.